RNAcentral lists this long non-coding RNA (1550 nucleotides) under Ananas comosus (pineapple). RNAcentral's name for it is "long non-coding RNA (ACOM_LNC005769)". The record is from RNAcentral. Lineage: Eukaryota; Viridiplantae; Streptophyta; Magnoliopsida; Poales; Bromeliaceae.
UUAAUAAUUAUAUAUUGAUUAGUGACGAUAUUUAGUAAUAAGUGCUGCUACUUUAUUAUAUAUAGUUAAUGGCGUUCACUAAUUUACGCUGCUAAUUUAUCCUAUUUUGCAACAUUAAUAGUAAAUUACUGCUAAAUUAUUAAAUCAAGCGGUAAUUAUCAAGUAAUGUUAUUAAAUAUAUUAAUUAGCAUAAUUUAAAUAAUGUUGCGGAGUAAAUGUCGCGACAUUUAGCAAUAAGCACUGCUACUUUGUUACAUUUAAUAUCAUUUUUUAUAAAAUGCUGAAAAUUUCAACGACAUUCACUAAUUUAUGCUGCUAAUUUAUCCUAUUUUACAACAUUAAUAAUAGAUUGCUACUAAAUUAUUAAAUAUAGCGGCAAUUAUCAAGUAAUGCUAUUAAAUAUAUUAAUUAGCAUGAUUUAAAUGCUACGGAGUAAAUGCUGCUAAAUCAUGGAUUUAUUGUAGUGAUGUAAAUUUUGAGGACAAGAAAUAUUAUAAAAACUUAUAUGAUCGUAUCUGUGACGAAUAUUUGGAACUUUAAGAUAAGUAUGAAACAUUUAACUUGGACUUUAAUUUUCUCAAAAAGUCCUGUAAUUUUUUAAUUAAAGAAAAAUAAAUUGUCGCUGUUUUGAAGGAAAUCAAGAAAAGUAUUGAUAGGUAUUGCGCCUUCAUUAAUCCCCCCUAAUGUUGAUCUGAUGGAAGAAGAGCUAAUUGGAUAUCCGGUAACUUCACAUACUGCAGAAACAACGGUAACAACUAGCGAUGAUCCGGAAAUACCUUCUGGUUAUUACAAGAUCUAGCCUUUCUGCCGUUUGACAUAAAAUACUGUUGCUUUCCUAACCUACUAAGUAUGUUUUUAUGUUUGUUUUGCAUCUCAAUUUUCACAAAGUAUUUUUGUCUAUGCCUAGGCUUGAAUUUCGUCAUAUAUCUACUUGUCUUUCUAGAUUGUUUUGCCCUUUUGUUUCUGUUGUUGAUCAUCCUUUUAAUAAAUUAAGAAGAAAAAGAAAUUGCAAUUACGUUUAUUGUUGCUUCAUUAAUUGUUGUUUACAUUGUUUGCACUGUUCAAGCUACUGAUAUGUCUCAUCUACUACAUAAUAAAAAAAAAUUAUAUUAUUAUUCUUGGAAUAUUUGGGGGGAACAUAAUCAAAUAACAUAGAAAAAAAAUUCUAACGGAGAGAGUAUUACAUCUGCUGCUUCUCCUUAAUCUACUAAUGGUGAUGCUCAUGUUGUUGCUGCUUUCCUUCUGGAUAUCUAUAUCGANAUUAACGGCGAUAUAAAUUAUUAAAUCAUCGUUAAAUAAUAAUUACAACAUUUUAUCCUAUUUAAUCGUCAUACUUAAUCACUUACGGCGACUUUAAAAAUCGUAAAAUAUUUUUUACUGUGAUUUACAUUGUUUCAUCGUCGCGAAUAACGAUUUACAGCGCUGUAAAUGAGGCAUUGUAAAUAAAUUUAAUACGAUUAAUUAUAUCAAGUAAUGCUAUUAAAUAUAUUAAUUAGCAUGAUUUAAAUGUUACGGAGUAAAUGCUGCUAAAUCAUGAAUUUAUUGUAGUG